CCUACGGGUGGCAGCAGUGGGGAAUAUUGCACAAUGGGGGAAACCCUGAUGCAGCGACGCCGCGUGAGUGAAGAAGUAUCUCGGUACGUAAAGCCCUAUCAGCAGGGAAGAAAAUGACGGUACCUGACUAAGAAGCCCCGGCUAACUACGUGCCAGCAGCCGCGGUAAUACGUAGGGGGCAAGCGUUAUCCGGAUUUACUGGGUGUAAAGGGGGCGUAGACGGCAGCACAAGUCUGGAGUGAAAUCCCGGGGCUUAACCCCGGGACUGCUUUGGAAACUGUGUGGCUGGAGUGCAGGAGGGGCAGGCGGAAUUCCUGGUGUAGCGGUGAAAUGCGUAGAUAUUAGGAGGAACACCGGUGGCGAAGGCGGCUUGCUGGACUGCAACUGACGUUGAGGCUCGAAAGCGUGGGGAGCAAACAGGAUUAGAUACCCUAGUAGUC
This 440-nucleotide ribosomal RNA is filed under the name uncultured bacterium. Its description in RNAcentral is "partial 16S ribosomal RNA". It matches the Rfam family "Bacterial small subunit ribosomal RNA", at positions 338 to 795 of the family's 1533-position model. The record is from RNAcentral.